UCCCUUAACCAACAACUACCACUUCGACCUUUUUUGCUCUUUUAUUCGACUAAUCUACUACAAUUUUUUCUUUUUUGCACUUUUCUCUUUUUUUUUCCUUUAUCUCCGAGACGCAGUUUUUUUUUGCUUGUCUCCUCCCUUAUUUUGAGAUUUUGAAUUUUUUAGUUGCAUGAGGAACUCGAAUAUCCUAGACUUGACCGAGUUACAUGCUACUUACGUGUACAUGAUCAAAUAAAGGUUUG
Molecule: long non-coding RNA, 242 nt
Filed under: Linum usitatissimum (flax)
Lineage: Eukaryota; Viridiplantae; Streptophyta; Magnoliopsida; Malpighiales; Linaceae
Description: long non-coding RNA (LUSI_LNC006783)
Source: RNAcentral